AUUGAACGCUGGCGGCAGGCCUAACACAUGCAAGUCGAACGGUAACAGGAAGAAGCUUGCUUCUUUGCUGACGAGUGGCGGACGGGUGAGUAAUGUCUGGGAAACUGCCUGAUGGAGGGGGAUAACUACUGGAAACGGUAGCUAAUACCGCAUAACGUCGCAAGACCAAAGAGGGGGACCUUCGGGCCUCUUGCCAUCGGAUGUGCCCAGAUGGGAUUAGCUAGUAGGUGGGGUAACGGCUCACCCAGGCGACGAUCCCUAGCUGGUCUGAGAGGAUGACCGGCCACGCUGAAACUGAGACACGGUCCAGACUCCUACGGGAGGCAGCGGUGGGGAAUAUUGCACAAUGGGCGCAAGCCUGAUGCAGCCAUGCCGCGUGUAUGAACAAGGCCUUCGGGUUGUAAAGUACUUUCAGCGGGGAGGAAGGGAGUAAAGUUAAUACCUUUUCUCAUUGACGUUACCCGCAGAAGAAGCACCGGCUAACUCCGG
This 489-nucleotide ribosomal RNA is filed under the name uncultured bacterium. RNAcentral's name for it is "partial 16S ribosomal RNA". It matches the Rfam family "Bacterial small subunit ribosomal RNA", at positions 30 to 506 of the family's 1533-position model. The record is from RNAcentral.